UCUCCAAUCUUCGUCGUUACGUUUUCAUCUUCUUUUUCUCCUUCCGAGUUCCAACAAUGGCUUCCUGAAUCCGAUUCUGGAGCUCCAUCGCCACCAUCGUCAACCCCAAAGAUCACAUCAUGAAGCUUGCUCUUUCCGUCCUCUUCCUCUCUCUCAGGCUUCUCCUCUUUUCUUCGUCCUGCCACUGCUAGAGGCGGCCUUCACAGUUCCUACCCUCCAGGUUUCGAAUUUGGUCCUCGCGCUGGUUCCGGCAGGCAAUUGUUUGAAGAUAAGGAAGCUCAGGCGCGUGUUGAUGUAGCUCAAGGGUACAUGAUAACUCUGACCUGGGACAGGCCAUUAAGGCGUUCGGCCAAAGAUGCGGUAACAUUUCUACGGCUUACAGUACAUUGGAAAUGUGCAUGGAGAUGAACCUGUAGGCCGUGAGCUUCUAAUUCUACUUGCAUUGAAUAUGUGACAACUAUUUGAAUGAUCCUCUGGAAACAACACUUAUCAAAUGGCUCGGUUGAUAAAGAGAUUGGGCACUUUAUUUUCCAUGAAGGAAUUGGUGCCUCUCAACUACUUCCUAGGUGUUGAAGGAACUUGCUAUGGUGAUCAAAUGCAUCUCACACAGUCCAAAUGUCCUGGACUUGCUGGAACGUACUAAAUUUACCAAUGCCAAGCCAAUCUCGACUCCAGUUUCUUCUGGACAAAAACAGAGUGCUUUUGGGGAUGAAUCAUAUACUAAUCCUGAAUUAUACCGAAGUGUUGUAGGUGCCCUACAUUAUUUGACCAUUACGAGACCUGAUCUUUCUUAUGUUGUGAACCAAGUGUGUCAAUUCAUGCAUUCGCCAACAACACGCAUUGGAUGACAGUUAAAAGGAUCCUACGUUAUUUGUAGGCUACCUAUUUAUAGGGUCUUGUUUAUAGACCUGGAAGUGUACAAUUGACUGC
Molecule: long non-coding RNA, 930 nt
Organism: Pyrus x bretschneideri (Chinese white pear)
Lineage: Eukaryota; Viridiplantae; Streptophyta; Magnoliopsida; Rosales; Rosaceae
Exons: 5
Source: RefSeq, a predicted model, not a curated record